This 456-nucleotide small RNA is filed under the name Histoplasma capsulatum var. duboisii H88. Its description in RNAcentral is "Histoplasma capsulatum H88 hypothetical RNA". Lineage: Eukaryota; Fungi; Ascomycota; Eurotiomycetes; Onygenales; Ajellomycetaceae. The record is from RNAcentral.
GUGCCGAAUGAAAAGCCCCGCCCAAUCUCCAUCGGUGGAUGGUCAAAAGUGAAACAGAGUCGAUGGGUUUCUUGCGCUCUCAGAUCGUUAUUAUUCUCGUCGGGGUCCAGAAAAGGAGUGGCCUCUCGACUCCGGACAUCGAAAUCAGACUCGCUGGGUGGGGGGAUAUAGCGAUCGCUGUUAUGUUGCAACUGCAAGGCGCUGACCCCAGGAGUCUCCUUGUAUGCCUUCAAAGUUAAGAUGAGGUUUGGAUUGUCCAUUGUCGUCAUUGAUUCAAGGGACUAAGUAUCGAUAAAAUAUACUAGCACAUAAAGGAAAGCUCUCUCUAGAUGUGAAAUUUUAUACCAGAAAUCACGAAUGCGAACGCUCUCCAAGUAGGGAAAGUAGGGCAGAACCAUGCCAGGCAGAACGAUGUUGGGCAGCAUAGCAUGGCUGACCCUACAGUCAACCAGAAUG